Molecule: ribosomal RNA, 426 nt
Filed under: uncultured bacterium
Lineage: Bacteria
Description: bacterial SSU rRNA
Rfam family: Bacterial small subunit ribosomal RNA
Source: RNAcentral
UCGGGAAUAUUGGACAAUGGGCGAAAGCCUGAUCCAGCAACGCCGCGUGCGGGACGAAGGCCCUCGGGUCGUAAACCGCUGUCAGGAGGGAGGAACGGUGCGUGGUUAAGAGCUGCGUACUUUGACAGUACCUCCAGAGGAAGCCCCGGCUAACUCCGUGCCAGCAGCCGCGGUAAUACGGAGGGGGCGAGCGUUAUUCGGAAUUAUUGGGUUUAAAGGGUCCGUAGGCGGGCCUAUAAGUCAGAGGUGAAAGGCCACGGCUCAACCGUGGGACUGCCUUUGAUACUGUAGGUCUUGAGUCGUUGUGGAGUUGCCGGAACAUGUGGUGUAGCGGUGAAAUGCAUAGAUAUCACAUAGAACACCGAUCGCGAAGGCAGGUAACUAACAACGUACUGACGCUGAUGGACGAAAGCGUGGGUAGCGAAC